UUUUUCCUUGGGGGGUGCAAUGGAGGCCGUGUAAAGCCCAGUCCAGGGCAGGCUGAGAGAAUCGUCAGCUUAGGAGCCUGUCCCCUGUGACUUAUUUCUGAGGCCCUGGGUGAGAGAGGCUGUAUCAAAACUGAGUGUGACAUGGAGAGACUGAGGCCUCAGCAGCACAGCCACCAGUGACAAGAACAAAGAACCUGUGAUAUGGUGCAUGGCAUGGUGACCCCACAGCUGAUUCAGCUCUUCUCUACUGCUAAGCCUGGAGUGUUUCCAGUGUUUCACUCUAAGUGUCACAAGGACCCCCUGAAGCACCCGUCAUCCUGUGUGAUGACCUGUUUGGCGAUAUUCCCCUCACAAGACCAUAGGCUCCUUACCUUCAGAGACCUGCAUGUCCUGAGUCCACCGUGACAAGCACACCACCUGGCCGGGGGACUGCCCAAUGAGGAUUGUGAGAUGAAAGAACGAUGGGUGACGAACUGAACGAGCGGUCACUGAAUGCAUUCAGCCUGCCUGCCCAUCCAGCACACCUGACCCCACAGGAUGAGGAGGAAGCAGAGGAUGCCACCUCCCACGGCAGCGUGCUCCCGAGGCUGGCGCUGAAGACAUUUGCAUGGCGUCUGCUAUGAGUCAGGAAGCUGCAGGCCCUCAUGGGAGGUGUGACCAUAGACCACACUUCCUUGACUGGAGGAAAGAUGUUUGGGAAAUAACCAAGAGAAGAUUCUCCAUGAAUAUUAACAUAUGGCAGGCUCUGCGAAGACCUAGAGAAAACGUAUUAAGACAAAUGGCUUCACCCCUGAACACAGGGGGAACCAGACACUCUAUAUGCAGUUCAACAUCCCCGAGGUUCCUGUGAGUUUAACAUACAGCUGUGGAGCACGACAGACCUCUGCAGAAAGUACUGGGAAAUGGUCCUUCAACAAUACAUUACCAGGAAGUUUGCCUGUAAUAACUGCGGAAGGGACAAGCGAAAAGGUCAGAGACGGUCUGAGUUAAGCAUUGAUUUGAAAGGUACAGGGCAAAUCCUUCAGUGGACUGAUCGGGGAAAAAGGAGGCAGCUCUGGUUUCCAACACCAGGAAUGAAAGAGGGAGCCACACUAUAGAUCCUGCAGUCAUCAAAAGGAUCAUCAGGCAAUAUUAUGGUCAAUGUUAUGCCAAUGAAUUUCACAACUUAGAGGAUAUGGACUAAGCUGGACCUCAACUGACGGCUUUUGUACUGAAUUGUGAAAACACUAGAGGGAAAGGAAAUAAAGUGAAAGAGGAAAAGGAGGAGCCUAACCAGGACAAAUAUGCAAAGACGUAGACUGUCACUGUCUUGAGGAAAUAGACAUAUGGUCUUCGUGGCUGGCAACCUCCAAAACGGCUCUUCUUGAUCUUCUCACCCCUGUGUAAGAGCCUCCUUUUGAAGGUGGCCUGGAC
This 1413-nucleotide long non-coding RNA is filed under the name Equus caballus (horse). Its description in RNAcentral is "lncRNA (ENSECAG00000042685.2)". Lineage: Eukaryota; Metazoa; Chordata; Mammalia; Perissodactyla; Equidae. The record is from RNAcentral.